CCAGUGCCAACAAGAAUUUCUUUUCAUCUUCUCUCCUACUUAUUGGGCGUACUAGGCUUCUAGAAAAUUAGUAGAUACCUAAGUGAAUAUGUCUUUGGUGAUUUUAUUACUCAUCUCUUUCUGAUUAAUCAUUCUAGAAAGUACCUUUCUUACUCCCAGCAAUCAUUUAGGCUGCUUUUUCAGGAGCCACAGCUCUUUCCAGAAACAUUUGACUCACCACACUGAUGUAUUUCAGGCAACCAUCUACGCCGGUCACUUAUCUCUGGCUUUUCCAGUAAUUGCCCUGAUAAUUUUAGUUACUUUUUCAACAGUAAAUUCAACCCUACAUGAUAUCCUAGAGUCACUUCUCCCUAAAUUAAAAAAACAUAUUCCGAUGGGCUGUAAGGACACUUUUUUGGAUACAUCAACAACAGUCUGUUAGAAAGAAUAAGACCUUUUACGGCGAAUGUCACUAUUCCAGCAACUCAUUUCAGAUGACUGGCAAUUAUUCUGGUGAGUUCUAGUACAGUGCAAGGUGGCAUGUAAUCCUAACAUUGUUUUUGAUGAGCAGAAUUUAUUCAUAGAAACAGCAACAAUCAAGCACUAAACAUGUAACGGAAGUUUGACUCAACUCCUAUCCAAGAUACAAGGAGUUUAUAUGAAGUCCCAAAGUGUUAUGAAGAUAAUUUUUACUGGGAAAUAUUCUAAAGGUUCAUACUAUAGUCUAGAGAACUAUUAAUUACUCUGUCAAAAUUGAAAUCCCCAACGAUUAUGGUUCUUUAGUCCAUAGAAACUCCUAAGGGUCUUAGUGUUUUUCUAACAAUAAAAGCUUAGUUAGAGUUACUUACUAUGUCCUCUUUAUACAACAUACAUGGAUUAUGGUGUACUUUUGUGUAUACGACUUUGUGAAAAGGAUAUAAAAGAUGUUAACACCUAUGAUCAAGGGGAAUAGAAUUUUGGAAACAGACGUUCUACCUCUGGGCUUUGAGGUAGAGGUCGGGGCUGUGUACACUUUACCCUCCCCAGAUCCCACUUCGCGCGACUACAUUGGAUAUACUGCUGUUGUUAUUGGAAUGUCGGUCAUAGGGUGGAGAGUCUUAUAAUAAGAGGGCUAGUGACUAGUCAAGUCAAAGACUUA
RNAcentral lists this unclassified non-coding RNA (1117 nucleotides) under Hevea brasiliensis (rubber tree). The record is from RNAcentral. Lineage: Eukaryota; Viridiplantae; Streptophyta; Magnoliopsida; Malpighiales; Euphorbiaceae.